AGCAGCCGCGGUAAUUCCAGCUCCAAUAGCGUAUAUUAAAGUUGUUGCAGUUAAAAAGCUCGUAGUUGAAUUUCGGGAUUAAUAUGCUGGUCGUGCCUUUGGUACGUACUGGUAUUAUUGGUUUCUCCUUUUUGAUGAAUCACGAUGUCAUUAAUUUGGUGUCAUGGGGAAUCAGGACUGUUUGAAAAAAUUAGAGUGUUUAAAGCAGGCUUACGCUUGAAUACAUUAGCAUGGAAUAAUGAAAUAGGACGUUUAAUUCUAUUUUGUUGGUUUCUAGGAUUGACGUAAUGAUUAAUAGGGAUAGUUGGGGGCAUUAGUAUUCAAUUGUCAGAGGUGAAAUUCUUGGAUUUAUUGAGGACUAACUACUGCGAAAGCAUUUGCCAAGGAUGUUUUCAUUAAUCAAGGACGAAAGUUAGGGGAUCGAAGACGAUCAGAUACCGUCGUAGUCUUAACCAUAAACUAUGCCGACUAGGGAUCGGAUGAUGUUAAUUUAUGACUCAUUCGGCGCCUUACGGGAAAC
RNAcentral lists this ribosomal RNA (520 nucleotides) under uncultured Glomus. RNAcentral's name for it is "SSU rRNA". It matches the Rfam family "Eukaryotic small subunit ribosomal RNA", at positions 569 to 1098 of the family's 1831-position model. Lineage: Eukaryota; Fungi; Glomeromycota; Glomeromycetes; Glomerales; Glomeraceae. The record is from RNAcentral.